AUUGAACGCUGGCGGCAUGCUUUACACAUGCAAGUCGAACGGUAACAGGCCUUCGGGUGCUGACGAGUGGCGAACGGGUGAGUAAUGCAUCGGAACGUACCCAGAGGUGGGGGAUAACGCAGCGAAAGCUGUGCUAAUACCGCAUGUGAUCUGAGGAUGAAAGCGGGGGACCGAGCAGCAAUGUUUGGCCUCGCGCCUUUGGAGCGGCCGAUGUCGGAUUAGCUAGUUGGUGGGGUAAAGGCCUACCAAGGCGACGAUCCGUAGCUGGUCUGAGAGGACGACCAGCCACACUGGGACUGGGACACGGCCCAGACUCCUACGGGAGGCAGCAGUGGGGAAUCUUGGACAAUGGGCGCAAGCCUGAUCCAGCAAUGCCGCGUGCGGGAAGAAGGCCUUCGGGUUGCAAACCGCUUUUGGCAGGAACGAAACGGUGUCCGCUAAUACCGGGCGCUAAUGACGGUACCUGCAGAAUAAGCACCGGCUAACUACGUG
RNAcentral lists this ribosomal RNA (492 nucleotides) under uncultured bacterium. RNAcentral describes it as "partial 16S ribosomal RNA". It matches the Rfam family "Bacterial small subunit ribosomal RNA", at positions 29 to 507 of the family's 1533-position model. The record is from RNAcentral.